UGGAUCACCUCCUAACAGGGAGACAACAAAAUGUUUAAUAUUAUUAUUUUGUCACCUUAGGUCGAUCGGUAUCUCACGUUCUUAUUUAAUUAAGAAUUUCAUUUCCUAAGUUUUUCUAGGUCACACCCAUUAUUUUUCCUGGGCCAUUAGCUCAGGUGGUUAGAGCGCACCCCUGAUAAGGGUGAGGUCCCUGGUUCAAGUCCAGGAUGGCCCAUAUCUCUAUGUUGGGGGUAUAGCUCAGUUGGUAGAGCGCCUGCUUUGCGAGCAGGAUGUCAGCGGUUCGAGUCCGCUUACCUCCACUGAUUACCACCUCUUCCAUAAUCUGUAGAAAGGAAAUUUUUUGAGUUGUGAUCAAAUUCUGAACGAAUCUAGCUUCCUAAUGAAAUCAUUAAGAUGCUGGACUCAUUGAAUUAAUUUCAUUGUUUUCAGAGAACCUUGACAACUGCAUAGAUUAUUUUAAAGACAAUUAGCAUCUUUAAUGAUGCAGAUUUAUUAUUUGUGCGAAUGCAUUAAUAACAAUUCUAUUAAGCUGAUGCUUCAAUUUUGAAGUUAUUGGUCAAGCUACAAAGGGCUCACGGAGGAUACCUAGGCACACAGAGGCGAUGAAGG
This 609-nucleotide transfer RNA is filed under the name uncultured Prochlorococcus sp. Its description in RNAcentral is "partial contains 16S ribosomal RNA, 16S-23S ribosomal RNA intergenic spacer, and 23S ribosomal RNA". The stretch from base 227 to 299 matches the Rfam family "tRNA". Lineage: Bacteria; Bacillati; Cyanobacteriota; Cyanophyceae; Synechococcales; Prochlorococcaceae. The record is from RNAcentral.